GAUAACCGUGGUAAUUCUAGAGCUAAUACAUGCUGGUAGGCCCGACUUUUGCGGAAGGGCGGUAUUUAUUAGAUAACAAGCCAAUAUUCCUCUGGUCUAUUGUGGUGACUCAUAAUAACUGAUCGAAUCGCAAGGCCUUUGGCCGCGAUAAGUCAUUCAAGUUUCUGCCCCAUCAGCUUUCGAUGGUAGUGUAUUGGACUACCAUGGCGUUUACGGGUAACGGAGGAUUAGGGUUCGAUUCCGGAGAGGGAGCCUGAGAAACGGCUACCACAUCUAAGGAAGGCAGCAGGCGCGUAAAUUACCCAAUCCUGACUCAGGGAGGUAGUGACAAGAAAUAACGGACCGAGGCCUUCGGGCUUCGGGAUUGGAAUGAGCCGAAUUUACACCCCUUAGCGAAGAUCGAUUGGAGGGCAAGUCUGGUGCCAGCAGCCGCGGUAAUUCCAGCUCCAAUAGCGUAUAUUAAAGUUGUUGCAGUUAAAAAGCUCGUAGUUGGAUUUCUGGGAGGGUGCCGAUGUCCACUUAACGUGUGCGCAGCGGCGCCCUCUCAUCCUUCUGUUAGCGUCUCUUGGCAUUCAUUUGCUGGUGGCGGGCUCAGAUAUUUUACCUUGAGAAAAUUAGAGUGUUUCAGGCAGGCUAGGCCGGAAUACAUUAGCAUGGAAUAAUGGAAUAGGACUGCGGUCUCUUUGUUGGUUUGAGGGACUGCAGUAAUGAUUAAUAGGGAUAGUUGGGGGCAUUAGUACUUAACUGUCAGAGGUGGAAUUCUCAGAUUUGUUAAAGACUGACUUAUGCGAAAGCAUUUGCCAAGAAUGUUUCAUUAAUCAAGAACGAAAGUUAGGGGAUCAAGACGAUCAGAUACCGUCCUAGUCUUANCAUAACUAUGCC
Molecule: ribosomal RNA, 882 nt
Filed under: uncultured eukaryote
Lineage: Eukaryota
Description: SSU rRNA
Rfam family: Eukaryotic small subunit ribosomal RNA
Source: RNAcentral